This 593-nucleotide unclassified non-coding RNA is filed under the name Alternaria terricola. RNAcentral describes it as "sequence contains 18S rRNA gene, ITS1, 5.8S rRNA gene, ITS2, 28S rRNA gene". The stretch from base 221 to 374 matches the Rfam family "5.8S ribosomal RNA". Lineage: Eukaryota; Fungi; Ascomycota; Dothideomycetes; Pleosporales; Pleosporaceae. The record is from RNAcentral.
UGGAAGUAAAAGUCGUAACAAGGUCUCCGUAGGUGAACCUGCGGAGGGAUCAUUACACAAUAUGAAAGCGGGCUGGCAUCCUUCGGGGUUACAGCCUUGCUGAAUUAUUCACCCGUGUCUUUUGCGUACUUCUUGUUUCCUUGGUGGGUUCGCCCACCAUAGGACAAACCAUAAACCUUUUGUAAUUGCAAUCAGCGUCAGUAAAAAAAUUAAUAAUUACAACUUUUAACAACGGAUCUCUUGGUUCUGGCAUCGAUGAAGAACGCAGCGAAAUGCGAUAAGUAGUGUGAAUUGCAGAAUUCAGUGAAUCAUCGAAUCUUUGAACGCACAUUGCGCCCUUUGGUAUUCCAAAGGGCAUGCCUGUUCGAGCGUCAUUUGUACCCUCAAGCUUUGCUUGGUGUUGGGCGUCUUGUCUCCAGUUCGCUGGAGACUCGCCUUAAAGUAAUUGGCAGCCGGCCUACUGGUUUCGGAGCGCAGCACAAGUCGCGCUCUCUUCCAGCCAAGGUCAGCAUCCACAAAGCCUUUUUUCAACUUUUGACCUCGGAUCAGGUAGGGAUACCCGCUGAACUUAAGCAUAUCAAUAAGCGGAGGAA